UACAGAGGUCUCAAGCGUUGUUCGGAUUCAUUGGGCGUAAAGGGUGCGUAGGUGGCGCUGUAAGUCAGGUGUGAAAUUUCGGAGCUUAACUCCGAAACUGCAUUUGAUACUGCGGUGCUUGAGGACUGGAGAGGAGACUGGAAUUUACGGUGUAGCAGUGAAAUGCGUAGAGAUCGUAAGGAAGACCAGUGGCGAAGGCGGGUCUCUGGACAGUUCCUGACGCUGAGGCACGAAGGUCAGGGGAGCAAACGGG
This 253-nucleotide ribosomal RNA is filed under the name uncultured bacterium. RNAcentral describes it as "partial 16S ribosomal RNA". It matches the Rfam family "Bacterial small subunit ribosomal RNA", at positions 524 to 776 of the family's 1533-position model. The record is from RNAcentral.